AUUUUACUGUUUCUGUUGUUUGUU
RNAcentral lists this small RNA (24 nucleotides) under Arabidopsis thaliana (thale cress). Its description in RNAcentral is "ATSL105920". The record is from RNAcentral. Lineage: Eukaryota; Viridiplantae; Streptophyta; Magnoliopsida; Brassicales; Brassicaceae.